RNAcentral lists this ribosomal RNA (229 nucleotides) under uncultured bacterium. RNAcentral's name for it is "partial 16S ribosomal RNA". It matches the Rfam family "Bacterial small subunit ribosomal RNA", at positions 568 to 796 of the family's 1533-position model. The record is from RNAcentral.
CAUGUAGGCGGACUAUUAAGUCUGGUGUGAAAGCCCUGGGCUCAACCCAGGAAGUGCAUUGGAUACUGAUAGUCUUGAGUAUGGGAGAGGAAAGUGGAAUUCCGAGUGUAGGAGUGAAAUCCGUAGAUAUUCGGAGGAACACCAGUGGCGAAGGCGGCUUUCUGGACCAAUACUGACGCUGAGAUGCGAAAGCGUGGGGAGCGAACAGGAUUAGAUACCCUGGUAGUCC